RNAcentral lists this ribosomal RNA (804 nucleotides) under uncultured bacterium. RNAcentral describes it as "bacterial SSU rRNA". It matches the Rfam family "Bacterial small subunit ribosomal RNA", at positions 8 to 810 of the family's 1533-position model. The record is from RNAcentral.
AGAGUUUGAUCCUGGCUCAGGAUGAACGCUGGCGGCGUGCUUAACACAUGCAAGUCGAACGAAGCACUUUAUUUGAUUUCCUUCGGGACUGAUUAUUUUGUGACUGAGUGGCGGACGGGUGAGUAACGCGUGGGUAACCUGCCUUGUACAGGGGGAUAACAGUUGGAAACGGCUGCUAAUACCGCAUAAGCGCACAGUACCGCAUGGUACGGUGUGAAAAACUCCGGUGGUAUGAGAUGGACCCGCGUCUGAUUAGGUAGUUGGUGGGGUAACGGCCUACCAAGCCGACGAUCAGUAGCCGACCUGAGAGGGUGACCGGCCACAUUGGGACUGAGACACGGCCCAAACUCCUACGGGAGGCAGCAGUGGGGAAUAUUGCACAAUGGGGGAAACCCUGAUGCAGCGACGCCGCGUGAGCGAUGAAGUAUUUCGGUAUGUAAAGCUCUAUCAGCAGGGAAGAAAAUGACGGUACCUGACUAAGAAGCCCCGGCUAACUACGUGCCAGCAGCCGCGGUAAUACGUAGGGGGCAAGCGUUAUCCGGAUUUACUGGGUGUAAAGGGAGCGUAGACGGCAUGGCAAGCCAGAUGUGAAAGCCCGGGGCUCAACCCCGGGACUGCAUUUGGAACUGUCAGGCUAGAGUGUCGGAGAGGAAAGCGGAAUUCCUAGUGUAGCGGUGAAAUGCGUAGAUAUUAGGAGGAACACCAGUGGCGAAGGCGGCUUUCUGGACGAUGACUGACGUUGAGGCUCGAAAGCGUGGGGAGCAAACAGGAUUAGAUACCCUGGUAGUCCACGCCGUAAACGAU